RNAcentral lists this ribosomal RNA (465 nucleotides) under uncultured bacterium. RNAcentral's name for it is "partial 16S ribosomal RNA". It matches the Rfam family "Bacterial small subunit ribosomal RNA", at positions 338 to 795 of the family's 1533-position model. The record is from RNAcentral.
CCUACGGGGUGCAGCAGUGGGGAAUAUUGCGCAAUGGGCGAAAGCCUGACGCAGCGACGCCGCGUGAGGGAUGAAGGUCUUCGGAUCGUAAACCUCUGUCAGCAGGGAAGAACGGUCACUGUGCUAAUCAGCAGUGAAUUGACGGUACCUGCAAAGGACGCACCGGCUAACUCCGUGCCAGCAGCCGCGGUAAUACGGAGGGUGCGAGCGUUAAUCGGAGUUACUGGGCGUAAAGCGCUCGUAGGCGGUAUGUCAAGUCAAGGGUGAAAUCCCCGCGCUCAACGUGGGAACUGCCUUUGAAACUGGCAAACUGGAGUGUGUGAGAGGAUAGUGGAAUUCGAGGUGUAGGAGUGAAAGCCGUAGAUAUCUGGAGGAACAUCAGUGGCGAAGGCGACUAUCUGGCACAUAACUGACGCUGAGGAGCGAAAGCGUGGGUAGCAAACAGGAUUAGAUACCCCGGUAGUC